CAAAGAUUAAUCAUUUUCUGCUUAAAAAAAAAAUGGCUUUGAUUUCCAACCAUGGAAUGCUCCACUGUUUCUCUUCUCUUCAAAGACAUCUACUGAAAGGAUUCCUUAACCAAGUGGCCAAAAUACUUUUCUGAGAAGAUUCACAGAGCAUAGGCCCCCUUAGGGUACACAGAGAUUUCAUUAGUCCCUAGAUGUUUCCUGAUCCUUUUAAAAACUGGUUAAAUUCAGAGACUCUAGGCAAUUCUUUCAGAACCUAUGAGGCAAAAACGAAAGAAGAAGGCAGGACAUGCAGUGUAACAAAUCUUGGAAUGAUUGGUCUGAGGACUCCACUUUCUUCACUGCCCAUUCAUCUUCAUACUGCUGUCAUAUUUUUUUUUAAAUUGGGAUAUGCAAUGAUCCUUAGUUUAUAAAUUCAACUCCACUUGGCCACA
Molecule: non-coding RNA, 431 nt
Filed under: Pongo abelii (Sumatran orangutan)
Lineage: Eukaryota; Metazoa; Chordata; Mammalia; Primates; Hominidae
Source: RNAcentral